AAUGUCCCCAUUCCUUGUUUUGUUUUAUUUUGUAGGUUUUGCUGUGCAUCGGCUUUUUACAACUUUGGGUUCUUGCAAAGUUGGAUUCUCGAUGUUGGUUUGUUUUUUAUUUUUAAAAUCAUUCCUAAAUAUUGUAUCGUUAUGGUUAGCUGUCUUGGUUGUCAUUAAUUUAAAAGUUUCCAUUGCUUCGUAGUUCACGCUUGGUGCUUGGAUUGUGUGUAUUUCAGGUUGCCGUUGCGCAAUUUUUUAUGAAUAUCGGCGGUGCUCAGCAUGUUUGUUCUGGUUUUUGUUUCUUCCAGCAUCUAAUUGCAUUCUUCACUGAUACUUAAGAACUUAAAAUUUUCAGUUCGUUCAUUUAGUUGCGACUUCUUAUGCACAGAUUGAAACUUUCUUCAGCAUUGUCAUUUAUUAUCAUUUGGAAUGUGUAACUGCUGUAUCGUAUUGUUGAUUGUGGCUGGCUGAUUCUUGGUUUCACUACUCUUGUAAUUCUGAAGAAGGUGUGAAGAAUUUCGUGAAACUAUAUCUACAAAGAGGGCGGAGAUAUUGAUUGGGGCUUUCUUUUUCCUGGUCGACAGAGUUUGAUGUGGCUAUAAGUGCUGUUUUCCUCUCGAUUUCGAAGUGAUUCUUUUUGCUUGUUCUAAUGUUCUUUGUUCUUGCUUUAAUGUUGCGGUUGCUACUACUUUUGUUUGGCAGUACUUCAUGCCGUCGCGGUUUUAUUGGUAUUUAAGUUCACUCCUCAGGGCGAAUAACCAUUUUGCGGCCUUUGGACUUGUGCGCAAAACCAUCUUUUGAUGGUAAAAUCACGGGUUUUUGCUUUACCAUCUUGUGAUUGACAUUUAGGCGUUUUGAUAUUUGGAUUGAUUUAAGUUACAUUUCUGGAUUUGCGUCACCAAUUGAUAAUUUCAGAUUAAUGCUUUUUGAAUUUCACGAAGUAAGUCGGUGGGUAUGUGAACAAGGUCUGUUGUCUGAAGUUUUUCCAGUUCUGUGAGGAUAUUUGAGCACGGAGUAACAUAUGCUUCUGCCGGUGAUAUUUGGUUUCUGGUUUUGUGAUGUGUAGUUUCCAAUUCCUUGAAGUUUUAUGGUAUACGGACGAGGAAGGUGUUUGAAAAUAUCAGUUGCUACUACUUUUGUUUGGCAGUACGGCAUGUUGGAUUUGCGUCACCAAUUGGUAAUUUCAGAUUAAUGCACAUUUAAUUACACCAAGUAAGUCGGUGUGUAUGUGAACCAGGUCUGUAGUCUGAAGUUUUUCUAGUUCUGUGAGGAUAUUUGAGAAAUGAGUAACAUAUGCUUCUGCCGGUGAUAUUUGUUUUCUGGCGUUUUGAUAUGUGGAUUGAUGUAAGUUACAUUGCUGGAUUUGCGUCACCAAUUGGUAAUUUCAGAUUAAUGCACAUUGAAUUACACCAAGUAAGUCGGUGGGUAUGUGAACCAGGUCUGUAGUCUGAAGUUUUUCCAGUUCUGUAAGGAUAUUUGAGAAAUGAGUAACAUAUGCUUCUGCCGGUGAUAUUUGUUUUCUGGUUUUGUGAUGUGUAGUUUCCAAUUCCUGGAAGUUUUUUUGUAUACGGACGAGGAGGUGUUUGAAAAUGUCGUCGAUGUUGGGCAUGUCAACUAGGUCUGCAAUUUGAAGUUUUUCCAGUUUUGGGCAGAUAUUUAAGCACUGAGUAACAUAUGCUUCUGCCAUUGAUAUUUGUUUCCGGGUUUUGUGAUUUGUAGUUUCCUAUUUCAUGAAGUGUUGGGAUACUGAUGAGGAAGGUGUUUGAAAAUAUGUGGUUGACCUGUUCAUAGGUGGAGGUUGUGCUUUGGGCUUUCUCGUGUUUGAACAGGAGUUUUUGAACUUGGUCUGUCUGUGGAAAUAAGUGAAAUUGAUUUUUCUUCUCCCCCUUUUUAUUUCACGUGUUUAUAAGUCUACUAUAUGCUGUUCUCUCAGACAUGUCCCCAUUCCUUGUUUGGAUUUAUUUUAUAGGUUUUGCUGUGCAUUGGCUUUUUACAACUUUGGAUUCUUGCAAAGUUGGGUUCUCGAUGUUGGUUUGUUUUUUUUUUUAAAAUCAUUCCUAAAUGUUGUAUCUUUAUGGUUAGCUGGCUUGGUUAUCAUUAAUUUAAAAGUUUCUGUUGCUUCUUGUUUCACGCUUGGUGCUUGGAUUGUGUGUUUUUCAGGUUGCGGUUGCGCAAUUUUUUUAUGAAUAUCGGCAGUGCUCAGCAUGUUUGUUCUGGUUUUUGUUUCUACCAGUAUCUAAUUGCAAUCUUCACUGAUACUUAAGAACUUAAAAUUUUCAGUUCGUUCAUUUAGUUGCGACUUAUUAUGCACAGAUUGAAACUUUCUUCAGCAUUGUCGUUUAUUAUCGUUUGGAAUAUGUAACUUCUGUAUCAUAUUGUUGAUUGUGGCUGGCUGAUUCUUGGUUUCCCUACUCGUCAUUGUGAAAAAGGUGUGAACUACAAAGAGGGCAGAGAUAUUGAUUGGGGCUUUCUUUUUCCUGGUCGACAGAGUUUGAUGUGGCUAUAAGUUCUCUUUUCCUUUCGAUUUCGAAGUGAUUCUUUUUGCCUGUUUUAAUUUUCUUUGUUCUUGUUUUAAUGUUGCGGCUGCUACUACUUUUGUUUGGCAGUAUGUCAUGUCGUCGCGGUUUUAUUGGUAUUUAAGUUCACUCCUGGGGGCGAAUAACCAUUUUGCGGCCUUUGGACUUCAGUUUCUGCGCAGAACCAUCUUUUGAAAGUAAAAACGCGGAUUUUUGCUUUGCCAUUUUGUGAUUGACAUUUAGGCGUUUUGAUAUUUUGAUUGAUUUAAGUUACAUUGCUGGAUUUGCGUCACCAAUUGGUAAUUUCAGAUUAAUGCACAUUGAAUUACACCAAGUUAGUGGGUAUGUGAACUAGGUCUGUAGUCUGAAGUUUUUCCAGUUCUGUGAGGAUAUUUGAGCACCGAGUAACAUAUGCUUCUGUCGGUGAUAUUUGUUUCCUGAUUUUGUGACUUGUAGUUUCCUAUUUCAUGAAGCUUUUGGGAUACCGAUCAGGAAGGUAUUUGAAAAUAUGUCGUUGACCUGUUCACUGGUGGAGGUUGUGAUUUGGGCUUUCUUGUGUUUGAUCAAGAGUUUUUGAAUUUUGUCUUUCUGCUGAAAUAAGAGAAAUGUGUUUUCUUUUCCCCCUCUUUAUUUCACAUGUUGUUUUGGAAGUCUUGUAUAUGCUAUUCUCUCGGGCAUGUACCUAUUACUUGUUUUGAUUUAUUUAUAGGUUUUGCUGUACCUAUUACUUGUUUUGAUUUAUUUUAUAAGUUUUGCUUUGCAUCGGCUUUUCACAACUCUGGGUUCUUGUAAAGUUGGCUUCUCAGCAUUGGUUUUAUUUUAUUUUAUUUUUAAAAAAAAAUCAUCCUCAAUGUUUCAUCUUCAUGGUUAGCUGGCUUCUUACUUGACACUUGGUGGUUGGAUUGUGUGUAUUUCAGGUUGCGUUUGCGCAUUUUUUUAUGAAUAUCAGCGGUGCUCAGCAUGUUUGUUCUGGUUCUUGUUUCUUCCAGCAUUUAAUUGUACUUUUAAUAGAUACUUAAGAACUUAAAAUUUUCUGUUCGAUCAUUUAGUUGCUGCUUCUUAUUCACAGAUUGGAACUUUGAUCAACACUGCCGUUUAUUAUCAUUUGGAAUGUGUAACUUCUGUAUCACAUUGUUGAUUUGUCUUUCUGAUUCUUGGUUUCAUUAUUCUUGUAAUUCUGACAAAGGUGUGUGGAGAAUUUGGUGCUAAUAUAUCUACUAAGAGGGUGUACAUAUUUAUUGGGCCUUUCUUUUUCUUGGUCAACAGAGUUUGAUGUGGCUAGAAGUUCUCUAUUCCUGUCGAUUUUGAAGGGAUUCUUUCUGCUGCUUCUAUUUUUUCUUUGUUCUUGUUUUACUGUUGCGGCCUGCGACUACUUUUCUUAGGCCUUAUGUCCUGUCGUGUUUUUAUUGGUAUUGUAGUUCACUCCUGGGGGCGUAUAACCAUUUUGCGGCCUUUGGACUUCAAUUUCUGUGGAAAACCAUCUUUGGAGAGUAAAAAUACAGGUUUUUGCUUUAUCAUCUUGUGAUUGAGAUUUGUGGUGUGUGCCUGCAAUUUAUGAGGUACAUGAACUAGAAAGGCGAAGUUUGAUUCGGACCUGUAGGGAGAUUCGGACCUGUAGGGAUAAGCUGUCAUCUCCUCUGCUUGUAUAAUUUCUUUUCUUAAUGCUUUAUCUUUGAUCCACGUUUCUUAUAGCUUGGUAAUGGCUUGCAAGGAAGAUUCCCUUUACAAAUUAUUUGGUUCUUUUAAUACGUUGGUGAACAUUUCAGGGAAUGCUGUCUUCUUAAAAAGUUAGGGUUUCUUUCAAGAUAACGAUGUUCGCUUUCAAGGAAGAUCUUUGUGCUGGGUUUCCAUGCAUUGCUAGUGGAAGAUUUCUUUAUCUUUAUUGCGAAUUUUUAGUUUCUUCCAUUACUUUGUUGAUCAUUGUUAGGGCUCCUUUUCCAAUGUUUGUGAAUGCUUUAGAAAAGGUUUGUCUUCUUUGCAAAUUUGGGUUUCUUUCAGGACAGUGUUGGCUUUCAGGGAAGAUCUUUGUGUUAGGUUUCGAUGCAUUGUUAGUGGGAUUUAAUUACAGUUUUUUAGCUUCUUCCAAUACUUUGUUGACCGUCUGCUGGGAAGAUUUUCUUGGUUACAUAUUUGGGCCGCUUCUAAUAUGAUGGUGACUGCUUUAGGGAAGGUUUUCUUCUUCAUUUUAGGGUUUCUUUGAAGAUGCUGGUGAUCGAUUUCAGGGAGGUUCUUCUUUGUGUUAGGUGAUGCAUUGGUACUUGAUUCCCAUCAUUUUUGGUUUUGCUGCCAAAAAACUUCUGUUGAUUGCUUGCAGGGUAGAUUUUCUUCGUCACAUACUAGGGUUCUUUGAUACGUAAGUGAUUGCUUUCAGAGGUUGUUUUCUUCGUAAGGUCAAGACUUCUGUGAUCGCUUUCAGGGAUGAUCUUUGUGUUAGGUUUUGGGAAAAGAUUUUACUCGUCAUAGAUUGGGGGUUCAUGAGGUUUUCUUCGUCACCAUUCAGUGUUUCUUUUAGUACGUUUGAUGACCGCUUUCAAGGAAGAUCUUUGUUUUAGGUUUCAUUGCUGUUAGAGAAUUCCCAUUAUGCUUGUCACAAAUUCAGUUUUUGCCCAAUAUGUUAUUCUUUUGCAGCUAAGAUUGCUACAAGUUUUGUUGAUUGUUCUCGGGGAGAAUCUCCUUCGUUAAAGAUUAAGACUUCUUUCAAUAUGGUGGGGAUCACUUUUGCUUGAUACUCUGUGUCAAAGUAGAAUUUAUUUGAGACGGUAAAUGAUGGACUUUUGCUUCUUGCUUAUGCCUCCGAAUGCUAUGGAGGGGAGUUAAUAUGUUUGAAGAAUUUGGUGCUAAUUUGUCCACAAGGAGAGGAUGAUUGGGGCUUUCUUGUACCUGUUCGAUAGAGGUUGAUGCGGUGAUAAGCUCUCUUUUCCCCUCGUUUUUGUAAGGAAUUAUUUCUGCUUCUUUUAAUACUGUGGCCUGUGACAGUUUUUCUUAGGCAUUAUUUUCCAAGGGGAAUGCUUCAGGGAAGGUUGUCUUCACAAAUUAGGGUUUCUUUCAAGAUGUUGGUGUAUGCUUUCAGGGAAGGGUUUCGAAGCAUUGCUAGUGGAAGAUUUCUAUAUUCUUUA
This is a long non-coding RNA of Alnus glutinosa, 5623 nucleotides long. RefSeq lists it as uncharacterized. The transcript has 2 exons. The record is from RefSeq and is a predicted model, not a curated record. Lineage: Eukaryota; Viridiplantae; Streptophyta; Magnoliopsida; Fagales; Betulaceae.